GUCUACAGCCAUGCCACCCUGAACGAGCCCAAUGUCUGAUCUCGAAAGCUAAGCAGGGUCGGGCCUGGUUAGUACUUGGAUGGGAGACCACCUAGAAAGACCAGGGGCUGUAGGCA
RNAcentral lists this ribosomal RNA (116 nucleotides) under Pteropus alecto (black flying fox). Lineage: Eukaryota; Metazoa; Chordata; Mammalia; Chiroptera; Pteropodidae. The record is from RNAcentral.